AGAGUUUGAUCAUGGCUCAGGACGAACGCUGGCGGCGUGCCUAACACAUGCAAGUCGAACGGGCUCCGGGGCAACUCGGAGUCAGUGGCGGACGGGUGCGUAACACGUGAGGAACAUGCCUAUCGGCGGGGGAUAGCCGGUCCAACGACCGGGGUAAUACCGCGUACGACCUUUGGGUGGCAUCACCUGGGGGUGAAAGCAGCAAUGCACCGAUAGAGUGCCUCGCGGCCUAUCAGCUAGUUGGUGGGGUAAUGGCUCACCAAGGCGACGACGGGUAGCUGGUCUGAGAGGAUGACCAGCCACAUUGGGACUGAGACACGGCCCAGACUCCUACGGGAGGCAGCAGUGGGGAAUAUUGCGCAAUGGGCGAAAGCCUGACGCAGCGACGCCGCGUGUGGGAUGACGGUCUUCGGAUUGUAAACCACUGUCGGGAGGGACGAAGCUCUGACGGUACCUCCAAAGGAAGCACCGGCUAACUCUGUGCCAGCAGCCGCGGUAAUACAGAGGGUGCAAGCGUUGUCCGGAAUCACUGGGCGUAAAGGGCGCGUAGGCGGCCUGAUAAGUCGGGGGUGAAAUUCUGCGGCUUAACCGCAGGACGGCCUUCGAGACUGUCGGGCUUGAGCACGGUAGAGGCAGGUGGAAUUCCCGGUGUAGCGGUGGAAUGCGUAGAGAUCGGGAAGAACAUCGGUGGCGAAGGCGGCCUGCUGGGCCGUUGCUGACGCUGAGGCGCGACAGCGUGGGGAGCAAACAGGAUUAGAUACCCUAGUAGUCC
Molecule: ribosomal RNA, 772 nt
Filed under: uncultured bacterium
Lineage: Bacteria
Description: bacterial SSU rRNA
Rfam family: Bacterial small subunit ribosomal RNA
Source: RNAcentral